UUUUUUGUAAGGUGAGUCGUACCAAGGUUUCCGUAGGUGUACCUGCGGAAGGAUCAUUC
This 59-nucleotide ribosomal RNA is filed under the name Mortierella sp. GD11F. RNAcentral's name for it is "partial 18S ribosomal RNA". The record is from RNAcentral. Lineage: Eukaryota; Fungi; Mortierellomycota; Mortierellomycetes; Mortierellales; Mortierellaceae.